Molecule: ribosomal RNA, 944 nt
Filed under: uncultured organism
Description: bacterial SSU rRNA
Rfam family: Bacterial small subunit ribosomal RNA
Source: RNAcentral
UUGACGGUACCCUACUAGAAAGGAGCCGCUAACUUCGUGCCAGAAGCGUCGGUAAUACGGGGGCUCCAAGCGUUAUCCGGUGUUAUUGGGCGUAAAGAGUCGUGUAGGUGGUUGGGUAAGUUAUCUUUCAAAUAUCUUUGCUUAACAAAGAGGAGGGGGAUAAUACUGCUCGACUAGAAUUUUCUCAAGGGAGAUCGGAACUGAGGGAGGAGUAGUGAAAUGCGUUGAUACCCUCGGGAACACCAGUGGCGUAGGCGGAUCUCUGGGAGAAGAUUGACACUGAGACACGAAAGCUAGGGGAGCGAAGCAGAUUAGAGACCUGCGUAGUCCUAGCCGUAAACGCAUGCUUGCUAGCUGCAUGAAUCUACCUUCGGGUGGUAUCGUGUGGCGAAGGUAACCCGUUAAGCAAGCCGCCUGGAAAGUACGGCCGCAAGGCUGAAAUUCAAAGGAAUUGGCGGGGAGGCACACAACCAGUGGAACAUGUGGUUUAAUUCGAGACUAACCGAAGAACCUCACCAGGGUUUGACAUGUAGCUGCACGUCUUAAGAAAUUAAGACUCUCUUGAAGGUGCUACACAGGUGCUGCAUGGCUGUCGUCAGCUCGUUCCGUGAGGAGUGCCCUUAAGUGGGACAACGAGCGCAACCCCUAUUACAUGUUAGAAAUGUCAUGUAAGACUGCCUUGCCAUUUGGCGGGGAGGAAGGAGAGGCAGACGUCAAGUCCGCAUGGUCCUUAUGCCCUGGGCUACACACAUGUUACAAUGAGUACGGCAAUGAGUCUGUCGCGAGCACGUAAGUGUAAGCUAAUCUCUUAAAUGUACUCUCAGUGGGGAUUGAGGUCUGCAACUCGACCUCAUGAACACGGAAUUGGUAGUAAUCGCGGGUCAGCUAUACCGCGGUGAUACGUUCUUGCCUCUUGCACACACCGCCCGUCAAACCAGCAAAGU